Molecule: ribosomal RNA, 439 nt
Filed under: uncultured bacterium
Lineage: Bacteria
Description: partial 16S ribosomal RNA
Rfam family: Bacterial small subunit ribosomal RNA
Source: RNAcentral
CUACGGGGUGCUGCAGUGAGGAAUAUUGCACAAUGGGGGGAACCCUGAUGCAGCAACGCCGCGUGGAGGAUGACGCAUUUCGGUGUGUAAACUCCUUUUAUAUGUCAAGAAAAUGACGGUAGCAUAUGAAUAAGCACCGGCUAACUCCGUGCCAGCAGCCGCGGUAAUACGGAGGGUGCAAGCGUUACUCGGAAUCACUGGGCGUAAAGGACGCGUAGGCGGGUUGGAAAGUCAGGUGGGAAAUCCUACAGCUUAACUGUAGAACUGCACUUGAAACUUCUAAUCUAGAGUAUGGGAGGGGGAGAUGGAAUUAGUGGUGUAGGGGUAAAAUCCGUAGAUAUCACUAGGAAUACCUAAAGCGAAGGCGAUCUCCUGGAACAUUACUGACGCUAAGGCGCGAAAGCGUGGGGAGCAAACAGGAUUAGAUACCCCAGUAGUC